RNAcentral lists this ribosomal RNA (256 nucleotides) under uncultured Actinomycetales bacterium. Its description in RNAcentral is "partial 16S ribosomal RNA". It matches the Rfam family "Bacterial small subunit ribosomal RNA", at positions 77 to 334 of the family's 1533-position model. Lineage: Bacteria; Bacillati; Actinomycetota; Actinomycetes; Actinomycetales. The record is from RNAcentral.
CUUUUGUGGGGUGCUCGAGUGGCGAACGGGUGAGUAACACGUGAGUAACCUGCCCUUGACUUUGGGAUAACUUCAGGAAACUGGGGCUAAUACCGGGUAGGAGCUCCUGCUGCAUGGUGGGGGUUGGAAAGUUUCGGCGGUUGGGGAUGGACUCGCGGCUUAUCAGCUUGUUGGUGGGGUAGUGGCUUACCAAGGCUUUGACGGGUAGCCGGCCUGAGAGGGUGACCGGCCACAUUGGGACUGAGAUACGGCCCAG